RNAcentral lists this ribosomal RNA (469 nucleotides) under uncultured bacterium. Its description in RNAcentral is "SSU rRNA". It matches the Rfam family "Bacterial small subunit ribosomal RNA", at positions 26 to 518 of the family's 1533-position model. The record is from RNAcentral.
AGGAUAAACGCUGGCGGCGUGCCUAACACAUGCAAGUCGAACGCGCUUUCGGGCUUCGGUGCGAGAGCGAGUGGCGGACGGGUGAGUAACACAUGGGUACCUACCUUGGAGUGAGGGAUACCGGCGAGAAAUCGCCGACAAUACCGCAUAGGCUUCUUCACAAGGGAAGCAAAGUGACGCGAGUCACGCUGUGAGAUGGGCCUGUGGCCGAUUAGCUAGUUGGGGGGGUAACGACUUCCCAAGGCGACGAUCGGUAGCUGGUCUGAGAGGACGAUCAGCCACACUGGGAUUGAGAACGGCCCAGACUCCUACGGGGGCAGCAGUGAGGAAUUUUCCGCAAUGGAGGCAACUCUGACGGAGCAACGCCGCGUGCAGGAGGAAGGUUUUCGGAUCGUAAACUGCUUUUCUCGGGGACGAGCAAGGACGGUACCCGAGGAAGAAGCCCGGCUAACUACGCGCCAGCAGCCGC